GAUGAACGCUGGCGGCGUGCCUAAUACAUGCAAGUCGAGCGAACGGACGAGAAGCUUGCUUCUCUGAUGUUAGCGGCGGACGGGUGAGUAACACGUGGAUAACCUACCUAUAAGACUGGGAUAACUUCGGGAAACCGGAGCUAAUACCGGAUGAUAUUUUGAACCGCAUGGUUCAAAAGUGAAAGACGGUCUUGCUGUCACUUAUAGAUGGAUCCGCGCUGCAUUAGCUAGUUGGUAAGGUAACGGCUUACCAAGGCAACGAUGCAUAGCCGACCUGAGAGGGUGAUCGGCCACACUGGAACUGAGACACGGUCCAGACUCCUACGGGAGGCAGCAGUAGGGAAUCUUCCGCAAUGGGCGAAAACCUGACGGAGCAACGCCGCGUGAGUGAUGAAGGUCUUCGGAUCGUAAAACUCUGCUAUUAGGGAAGAACAUAUGUGUAAGUAACUGUGCACAUCUUGACGGUACCUAAUCAGAAAGCCACGGCUAACUACGUG
This 497-nucleotide ribosomal RNA is filed under the name uncultured bacterium. RNAcentral's name for it is "partial 16S ribosomal RNA". It matches the Rfam family "Bacterial small subunit ribosomal RNA", at positions 28 to 507 of the family's 1533-position model. The record is from RNAcentral.